Molecule: ribosomal RNA, 253 nt
Filed under: uncultured bacterium
Lineage: Bacteria
Description: partial 16S ribosomal RNA
Rfam family: Bacterial small subunit ribosomal RNA
Source: RNAcentral
UACGGAGGGGGCGAGCGUUGUUCGGAAUUACUGGGCGUAAAGGGCUUGUAGGUGGCCAACUAAGUCACACGUGAAAUCCCCAGGCUUAACCUGGGAACUGCGUGUGAUACUGGAUGGCUUGAAUCCGGGAGAGGGAUGCGGAAUUCCAGGUGUAGCGGUGAAAUGCGUAGAUAUCUGGAGGAACACCGGUGGCGAAGGCGGCAUCCUGGACCGGUAUUGACACUGAAAAGCGAAAGCCAGGGGAGCAAACGGG